Molecule: small nuclear RNA, 174 nt
Filed under: Cervus hanglu yarkandensis (Yarkand deer)
Lineage: Eukaryota; Metazoa; Chordata; Mammalia; Artiodactyla; Cervidae
Description: U4 spliceosomal RNA (ENSCHYG00000005814.1)
Rfam family: U4 spliceosomal RNA (bases 1-148)
About the family: U4 small nuclear RNA (U4 snRNA) is a component of the major U2-dependent spliceosome.
Source: RNAcentral
AGCUUUGCGCAGUGGCAGUAUCGUAGCCAAUGAGGUUUAUCCGAGGCAUGAUUAUUGCUAAUUGAAAACGUUUCCCUAAUUAUCUCAGAACAGAGUGGGUGGGUCAAACAGCAGGGGUAUGUUUGACUUUUGGAGAAACUCACCCGGUAGCUUUAUUUUGUAUUUCUUUUAUGG